CAUAGGUUAAUGAGGCGAACCGGGGGAACUGAAACAUCUAAGUACCCCGAGGAAAAGAAAUCAACCGAGAUUCCCCCAGUAGCGGCGAGCGAACGGGGAGCAGCCCAGAGCCUGAAUCAGUGUGUGUGUUAGUGGAAGCGUCUGGAAAGGCGCGCGAUACAGGGUGACAGCCCCGUACACAAAAAUGCACAUACUGUGAGCUCGAUGAGUAGGGCGGGACACGUGGUAUCCUGUCUGAAUAUGGGGGGACCAUCCUCCAAGGCUAAAUACUCCUGACUGACCGAUAGUGAACCAGUACCGUGAGGGAAAGGCGAAAAGAACCCCGGCGAGGGGAGUGAAAAAGAACCUGAAACCGUGUACGUACAAGCAGUGGGAGCACGCUUAGGCGUGUGACUGCGUACCUUUUGUAUAAUGGGUCAGCGACUUAUAUUCUGUAGCAAGGUUAACCGAAUAGGGGAGCCGAAGGGAAACCGAGUCUUAACUGGGCGUUAAGUUGCAGGGUAUAGACCCGAAACCCGGUGAUCUAGCCAUGGGCAGGUUGAAGGUUGGGUAACACUAACUGGAGGACCGAACCGACUAAUGUUGAAAAAUUAGCGGAUGACUUGUGGCUGGGGGUGAAAGGCCAAUCAAACCGGGAGAUAGCUGGUUCUCCCCGAAAGCUAUUUAGGUAGCGCCUCGUGAAUUCAUCUCCGGGGGUAGAGCACUGUUUCGGCAAGGGGGUCAUCCCGACUUACCAACCCGAUGCAAACUGCGAAUACCGGAGAAUGUUAUCACGGGAGACACACGGCGGGUGCUAACGUCCGUCGUGAAGAGGGAAACAACCCAGACCGCCAGCUAAGGUCCCAAAGUCAUGGUUAAGUGGGAAACGAUGUGGGAAGGCCCAGACAGCCAGGAUGUUGGCUUAGAAGCAGCCAUCAUUUAAAGAAAGCGUAAUAGCUCACUGGUCGAGUCGGCCUGCGCGGAAGAUGUAACGGGGCUAAACCAUGCACCGAAGCUGCGGCAGCGACGCUGAUGCGUUGUUGGGUAGGGGAGCGUUCUGUAAGCCUGCGAAGGUGUGCUGUGAGGCAUGCUGGAGGUAUCAGAAGUGCGAAUGCUGACAUAAGUAACGAUAAAGCGGGUGAAAAGCCCGCUCGCCGGAAGACCAAGGGUUCCUGUCCAACGUUAAUCGGGGCAGGGUGAGUCGACCCCUAAGGCGAGGCCGAAAGGCGUA
Molecule: ribosomal RNA, 1210 nt
Filed under: Escherichia coli
Lineage: Bacteria; Pseudomonadati; Pseudomonadota; Gammaproteobacteria; Enterobacterales; Enterobacteriaceae
Description: partial 23S ribosomal RNA
Rfam family: Bacterial large subunit ribosomal RNA
Source: RNAcentral